This 25-nucleotide non-coding RNA is filed under the name Cricetulus griseus (Chinese hamster). Lineage: Eukaryota; Metazoa; Chordata; Mammalia; Rodentia; Cricetidae. The record is from RNAcentral.
CUCUUUGCCUUUUCCUCCGCCAUCG